This 116-nucleotide ribosomal RNA is filed under the name Bacillus wiedmannii. Lineage: Bacteria; Bacillati; Bacillota; Bacilli; Caryophanales; Bacillaceae. The record is from RNAcentral. RNAcentral also lists the same sequence under 1 other name.
UCUGGUAAUAAUGGCAGAGAGGCCACACCCGUUCCCAUACCGAACACGGAAGUUAAGCUCUCUAGCGCCGAUGGUAGUUGGGACCUUGUCCCUGUGAGAGUAGGACGUUGCCAGGC